Molecule: ribosomal RNA, 374 nt
Filed under: uncultured Paracoccus sp.
Lineage: Bacteria; Pseudomonadati; Pseudomonadota; Alphaproteobacteria; Rhodobacterales; Paracoccaceae
Description: bacterial SSU rRNA
Rfam family: Bacterial small subunit ribosomal RNA
Source: RNAcentral
AACGCGAAGAACCUUACCAACCCUUGACAUGGCAGGACCGCUGGAGAGAUUCAGCUUUCUCGUGAGAGACCUGCACACAGGUGCUGCAUGGCUGUCGUCAGCUCGUGUCGUGAGAUGUUCGGUUAAGUCCGGCAACGAGCGCAACCCACGUCCCUAGUUGCCAGCAUUCAGUUGGGCACUCUAUGGAAACUGCCGAUGAUAAGUCGGAGGAGGGUGUGGAUGACGUCAAGUCCUCAUGGCCCUUACGGGUUGGGCUACACACGUGCUACAAUGGUGGUGACAGUGGGUUAAUCCCCAAAAGCCAUCUCAGUUCGGAUUGUCCUCUGCAACUCGAGGGCAUGAAGUGGAAUCGCUAGUAAUCGCGAUCAGCAUGC